Molecule: ribosomal RNA, 498 nt
Filed under: uncultured bacterium
Lineage: Bacteria
Description: partial 16S ribosomal RNA
Rfam family: Bacterial small subunit ribosomal RNA
Source: RNAcentral
AUUGAACGCUGGCGGCAUGCCUUACACAUGCAAGUCGAACGGUAACAGGUCUUCGGAUGCUGACGAGUGGCGAACGGGUGAGUAAUACAUCGGAACGUGCCUAGUAGUGGGGGAUAACUACUCGAAAGAGUGGCUAAUACCGCAUGAGAUCUACGGAUGAAAGCAGGGGAUCGCAAGACCUUGUGCUACUAGAGCGGCCGAUGGCAGAUUAGGUAGUUGGUGGGAUAAAAGCUUACCAAGCCGACGAUCUGUAGCUGGUCUGAGAGGACGAUCGAGCACACUGGGACUGGGAAACGGCCCAGACUCCUACGGGAGGCAGCAGUGGGGAAUUUUGGACAAUGGGCGCAAGCCUGAUCCAGCAAUGCCGCGUGCAGGAUGAAGGCCUUCGGGUUGUAAACUGCUUUUGUACGGAACGAAAAGCCCCGGGUUAAUACCCUGGGGUCAUGACGGUACCGUAAGAAUAAGCACCGGCUAACUACGUGCCAGCCGCCGCCGUAA